Labeo rohita (rohu) is the source of this 622-nucleotide long non-coding RNA. RefSeq lists it as uncharacterized. The record is from RefSeq and is a predicted model, not a curated record. Lineage: Eukaryota; Metazoa; Chordata; Actinopteri; Cypriniformes; Cyprinidae. The transcript is spliced from 3 exons.
UAAUGAUUGUAUAAGCCAUGCGGUUUCACUGGCCUUUUGGAUCUAUUUAUGCUUCUUCAUUGUAAUGUGGACUGUGACUACACAAUGAUUGAUCCUUUGCUUUCACUGUGGAAUUGGUUGAUUGCUGCUGUUAAAUUGUUCAAGUGUUUUGCUGUUAUUACAACAUGUUGUACAUCAAUGGCCCUUUUGAGUGCUGUUCUGUUUCUUAUGGUGCCUUUAUCAAGUGCCUUAUUAUUUUUCUCUCCAUGUUUUUAGACACCACGCUGAAAUUUAUCAUUAUCAGUGUUCCUUUGUCUGUACUGCCAUGGUACAUUUACAUCUGUAAUGUACCAUGUGCAACUAAGAAAUGUUUGAAUUUCAGGUUCUUCUGAGUGGCAUGGGUAGACACUGUCACUUUCUGUAUGCUUUGUUUCAUACAUUUACAAAAUUGAAAUUCCUUUUAAUGCAAUUGGUUUCUUUUUUUUUUUUUUUUUUUUAAAUUUAUCCCAUUUUCUUUUGUCUGUUUAAUGUUCUGUUUAUUGAAGAAAGUCUAAAUGCCUUCAUGGGGCUAAGAUGACGUCAUCACCGCAGUAGCAAGAGUAAGUUAAGUUUUAAUAGAAAAAAGGAAAAUAAAUAAAAGGAA